ACCCUCAGUUUCUCUGUCAAUUGUAGAAAAGAGAGAAUCCAAUCGAUGACUACAGCACCGAGUCUUCCUCUUCUAUCGGUGACUACAAAGCCGAGUCUACAUCUUCUUGCGAUUCGCCGUGUUUCUUCAUCUUGCUGCAAUUUGUACACCCUAAAAUAGAGAGGUACGUCAAUUCCAGAUUUGCUUCAGUUUAGGGUUUUUUCUUCUCUCAAAAUAAUUGUAGUACCUGUCGAUUUCUCAUUAUUUUGGUUUCAAUUCUUGGAUAUUUUCAACUAAAUAUUCUUUUCCUUCUUCCUGUGUGUACAAUUCUAUUUUUUAGUUGGUGGAAUCUCCCAAAAACCAGAAAAUUCGCACCGAAAUAGGAAACUGGCGACCUGAGGUGUGUGGAUUUAGUAUUUGCUUCAGUUUAGUGUUAUUUCUUGCUUCAUUUUUAACUUUUUCCUUUUUUGAAAUAUUCGUGUGGCCUCGUGUUCACACUACAAAUGAUUCAAACUGGUUAUGCAUUUUUCAUUCUAGAAAGUCUCCUUUCCACACUCACUGUUGAAUUUCAUCUCACACACGCUAGACUUUUGCUUUUGAGUCUCUCCCAAUUCUUUGAUAUCUUAGUUUGCUCUCCAUUUCCUAAGACUUUUACCUUUCCCAAUUUUUUUUCACAUCUUGCCUCCUCAGUUAUCAUUGAUGCCAAUGUAAACUGUAAAUAUGUUCUUUUUCAGCAAUUGCAUCCAUUAAUAUUAUCCUAACUUUGAACUGAAAUUUUCGUUUCUUCUUAUGUGUAUAGUGUCCAAUGUGUUCUCUGGUCGAUUAAAUCGAUGACUACAGUGUUGCAUUUUACCUUAGGUAAGUUGUUCGUGAUUUGUGUUUUUUAUUCCUCACUCUAUCUCCGAUCAGUUUUUGUUGAUUUUCUUCGGUUUCGUGUUGUGAAGUUUACGGGUGUGGUUAAAAGGUAAGCUGUUCUUUUCUCUUUUUGUUUAUAACAUGAAUCCUAUAAAUCUAAAUUUCUUCCAUAAUGUUUAUUUAGAUCUUCUGUGAAAAUUGUUAUCUUGUUCAUGUUCUAAAGUUUUUGUACCUUUUUUACUUCUCUUGGAACAUAAAUUGUAGCACCGUACCUUUUUAAAUUUUGAAAGUUAUAUGUUGUUCUUUAGAGGUUUAAAUUUUUAUUUUUAUUUUUUUUCCCUAGAAUCUGGAUUUGUAGUAAUGACUUGUUUGUUUAUUAAUUAUUAAUUCUAAGUACAAGAGUGUAAUCCAUGAGUUUGAUCCAUAUUUUAAUUAAAGAGACACCAAGGCAUGUUCUAACUCAUUGGAUUUUCUAGAACUGCAGAAUUUAAUUAUUUUACUCUUGUAAUCUUUGCUUAAGAAUUUCAUGACAAAUAUAUGUUCAUCUAUUUUCUGUUCUAUAAACAAUAAUUACAUGUAUUAUACUAUGGGAUACACACAUGGUGAAAAAGAGUUCUUCCAUUUAAACAGAUAGAGUAUAUAUUAUAGCCUAUUACAGAUUCUGUCAACACCAAUGGGUGAAAUUUUAAAUGUAAUAUAAAACAAAUGUCUAAUUCUUGCACCGUGCAAGAAAUUGAAUCAACUACUAAAGGAUUUAACCACUAAAGUGUGUGAAUUUGCGGGAGAUUAUAUUUUUAUUUUAUUUUUAUCUAGAGAGAGAAAAUACUCUUAGGAUUAAAGGAAAGCUAGAAACAUAUGUGGUCACUUCCCUUCCAAAAGAGGAAACGUAUGGUCACUUUUAACAAUUGCUGAAGUAGGUAAGCUUUGACAUGGAAGCAGUUGUCUAAUUUUGAUGGUUCGUGGACUCUUCAAAAUCAAGCCUUUUUCAAUUUUGCGUGCUUGGCACAAACCCUUUAAAAAUGUCCAAGAAAUUGCCGCUCCUUUAUGGGAAAUGAACUAGAGAACAUUAUAAUUUGGUGAAGGGAGAUAUCAAGCUGAGCUGGCGUGGUUAUUCGUAAGUUCUCUUUGUUACUUGUAUAUUGAAUUUGGCCUCUCCCUUUAUGUGUGGAUCUAUGCAAGUCCUAAUUGCUGUGCAUUUGCAGUUCAGCUGCCUCGUUUGCUUUAGACGGAGGUGAUUUUGUUGGGAUUCAUGGAAAUGGUGGUCGAGAUGGCAGAGGCAAUGGUGCGGCUGAGGGUGGAGAGUCAAAGUUGCGUUCCUAGGUGGCUAGAGUUGUCUAUUUUCUGAAUUUUUUUUUCUCGAUUCUUCUUCUUUUUUUCAAUUCAAUUUUGUAGAAAAAUUGAUUAAUAACAUAGGCCUCGAAUUUUGUUUUUUAAAAUUUUCUUAUGAGGAAUCAUUUCUUGAAAGCAUCUUUAGUUGUGUUUUCUUUGCCAUAUAUGAGCUUGUGUUUUGAUAUUUUCAUUAAUUUUUCUAAAUAAAUGAACUCUAGACAUUUUAAUUGUUUAUCGAUAUUGCAUCUGAUAAAUAAAAUGGUUGUGAUUCCUGAUUCAUUUAUUUGCCAAUGUGAUAUCCUGAAUUGGGGACUUUUCCCUCAGUUUUUAGAAGUAAUAAGAAAUUGAAAAAUUUAUAUUUUUAGUUGAGCCGGGAUUGUUAGAUUUUGAAUGUUUAGUUGUUCUAUUUCGGAUUAUUCCUACCAAGAGCAAGCACGAUUAGCGCGAUUCUGUUUAAAUGACUUAUGUAAAGGGAUUCUCAUUUUCAAGGAGGGUCUUUUGUCUAUUUCUCUUAUAUUCAUAUUGAAACUAAAGAAGGAAUUUUGUUAACUUCCUCCACUGCAGUGUGUAUUUUAUUAGGAGCAAUGCCCGGAGUUCUAAUCGGGCAAGAGAUCGCAGUACCAUCUCUGGUGCUAUUUUCUCAAUCGAGGUGUUUUGAGUCUUUAAUGCUUUUAUGGCAAUCACAUGAAUCUGGCAUUGGAUAUAUACUGUAUUUGGUGACCAACAUUCUUUAUCUGAAAUAUCAUCCCAUUUUAGAUUAGUUGUAUGGUCUAAUUAUUUAUUGAAAUUCUUAAUUGAAACUUUUUAUACACAUGAUUAAUAUUAUGAAAUUGUGUAGAUUCAUGUGAUUGCAAGCCUUAUAAGUGGUAGACUUGUCCAUGAAUUCAUUGGCCCGGCUAUGCUUAGUGCUACUCAAAUUUAAGUAUUAUUCUAUUUGAUUGACAAAAUAUAGGAAAUAAACAGAAAUUAUUUUCGAGUUUCUAAACAAUUUCCUUAUUCUUGAAUCAGAUGGGAGUUAUGGAAACAACAACAUUUGAAGAGGUCCAGAACAUUUUUUAUUCGAG
RNAcentral lists this long non-coding RNA (3227 nucleotides) under Olea europaea subsp. europaea. Lineage: Eukaryota; Viridiplantae; Streptophyta; Magnoliopsida; Lamiales; Oleaceae. The record is from RNAcentral.